RNAcentral lists this ribosomal RNA (253 nucleotides) under uncultured bacterium. RNAcentral describes it as "partial 16S ribosomal RNA". It matches the Rfam family "Bacterial small subunit ribosomal RNA", at positions 524 to 776 of the family's 1533-position model. The record is from RNAcentral.
UACGGAGGGUGCGAGCGUUGUCCGGAAUCAUUGGGCGUAAAGGGCGCGUAGGUGGCGGGACAAGCGUGCGGUGAAAGCCUGGGGCUCAACCCCGGGUCGGCCGUGCGAACUGUUUUGCUUGAGCACUGUAGAGGCAGGCGGAAUUCCGGGUGUAGCGGUGGAAUGCGUAGAUAUCAGGAGGAACACCAAUAGCGAAGGCAGCUCGCUGGGACGUUACUGACACUAAGGCGCGAAAGCGUGGGGAGCGAACAGG